This 700-nucleotide long non-coding RNA is filed under the name Malus domestica (apple). Its description in RNAcentral is "long non-coding RNA (MDOM_LNC015997)". Lineage: Eukaryota; Viridiplantae; Streptophyta; Magnoliopsida; Rosales; Rosaceae. The record is from RNAcentral.
ACCUGUUUAAGAAAAGAGAGAGCCUCUGCCACUGGAACUCCGCUAGAAAAGAGAGAGCCUCUGCCUCUGCCACUGAAUUAUAUCAGUCUAACCAAGGUGUGUCCGACUCCAACUUCUCCAGAGGUGUGUCCUGUAUAACAUAAAUAGAUUUUAUUAGAAACGUGAAAAAAUGUCAAGCAGGCAGCAAAUAAUUAAACCCUGACUUUAAACCAUAAUUUAAACCCUGACUUUGUUGCUUUCUGAUUGGUUCAAAGCAAAUAAUUACUCUCUGGGAUGGGAAACACAAGCAGGCAGCACAAUUAAACAGAGUGAACACACAACACACAGAUUGUUGACCGACAAAAGACCAAAAAGGCUGAGAAGUAUCAUCAUGUUAUUAUACUAUGACAUUCUUUCACUUUAAUUCACUAGGCAAUGCAGAAGUUGUGUGAACGUAAAACCACAUCCCAGAAAACAAUGAACGGAUCUAAUAACUAGCAGUAAAUCUUAUAAGUCGUAACGAAAUCAAGACUGGAAAAUGAAACAGAAAACACUUUCUUUACUAAGCACACUCAAGGAAUCCAGAAAGUAACUUGCAGUUUCUAUGUUCCAAUUCAAGCGUAGUCAACAUAUGAAAACCUAUUCAUCAGCAUUAGACCGUCUGUCAUCCGAAGACCCGUCAUUUUUAUCCCUUCUUUCCUGCCAUCUUGCCCAAAGCUAC